Molecule: unclassified non-coding RNA, 212 nt
Filed under: plant metagenome
Description: partial contains small subunit ribosomal RNA, internal transcribed spacer 1, and 5.8S ribosomal RNA
Source: RNAcentral
UUUCCGUAGGUGAACCUGCGGAAGGACCAUUAAAAAUGAAGCCGGGAAACCGGUCCUUCUAACCCUUGAUUAUCUUAAUUUGUUGCUUUGGUGGGCCGCGCAAGCACCGGCUUCGGCUGGAUCGUGCCCGCCAGAGGACACAACUCUGUAUCAAGUGUCGUCUGAGUACUAUAAAAUAGUUAAAACUUUCAACAACGGAUCUCUUGGUUCUG